UACGUAGGUGGCAAGCGUUGUCCGGAUUUACUGGGCGUAAAGGGCGUGCAGGCGGUUUGUUAAGUGCAGGGUGAAAGCUCCCGGUUCAACUGGGAGAGGUCCUUGCAUACUGGCAAGCUCGAGGGAGGCAGAGGAAAGUGGAAUUCCCGGUGUAGUGGUGAUAUGCGUAGAUAUCGGGAGGAACACCUGUGGCGAAGGCGGCUUUCUGGGCCUUACCUGACGCUGAGACGCGAAAGCGUGGGGAGCGAACAGG
This 253-nucleotide ribosomal RNA is filed under the name uncultured bacterium. Its description in RNAcentral is "partial 16S ribosomal RNA". It matches the Rfam family "Bacterial small subunit ribosomal RNA", at positions 524 to 776 of the family's 1533-position model. The record is from RNAcentral.